Molecule: ribosomal RNA, 254 nt
Filed under: uncultured bacterium
Lineage: Bacteria
Description: partial 16S ribosomal RNA
Rfam family: Bacterial small subunit ribosomal RNA
Source: RNAcentral
UACGAAGGGGGCUAGCGUUGCUCGGAAUCACUGGGCGUAAAGCGCACGUAGGCGGACUCUUAAGUCGGUGGUGAAAUCCUGGAGCUCAACUCCAGAACUGCCUUCGAUACUGCGGGUCUCGAGUCCGGGAGAGGUGAGUGGAAUUCCUAGUGUAGAGGUGAAAUUCGUAGAUAUUAGGAAGAACACCAGUGGCGAAGGCGGCUCACUGGCCCGGUACUGACGCUGAGGCGACGAAAGCGUGGGGAGCAAACAGG